This 455-nucleotide ribosomal RNA is filed under the name Alexandrium margalefii. RNAcentral's name for it is "partial Bacterial large subunit ribosomal RNA". It matches the Rfam family "Bacterial large subunit ribosomal RNA", at positions 175 to 622 of the family's 2925-position model. Lineage: Eukaryota; Dinophyceae; Gonyaulacales; Pyrocystaceae. The record is from RNAcentral.
CUUAGCUAACGUGGUGAACUGAAACAUCUAAGUAACCACAGGAAGAGAAAGAAAAAUCGAUUUCCUCAGUAGCGGCGAGCGAACGGGAAUUAGCCCAAACCGUCGAGGUUUCCUCGGCGGGGUUGUAGGGCCCUUCACAUGAGAGUCAUAAAACUGUUUAGAAGCAGAAGUCUUUGGAAAGAGACACCGCAGAGGGUGACAGUCCCGUAAGCGAAUCUAAGCAGUCUCUCGAGGGGUACCUGAGUAGGUCGGGUCACGUGAAACCCCGACUGAAUCCACGGGGACCAUCCCGUAAGGCUAAACACAACCUAAUGACCGAUAGUGAACUCAGUAUGGUGACUGAAAGAUGAGAAGAACCCCUGUUAGGGGAGGUAUGUGAACCUGAAACCAUACGCUUACAAGCGGUCGGAGCACUAUUUUAAUGUGUGACGGCGUGCCUUUUGCAUAAUGAUCCG